AGAGGUAUCUUUAUUACGCAGUGACGUCAGCGCCUCUUGUCAUACACCACAGAGGUGAUGACGUCACUGAUGACAUGAAGAUGCUACC
This 88-nucleotide microRNA precursor is filed under the name Branchiostoma floridae (Florida lancelet). RNAcentral describes it as "microRNA bfl-mir-4856a precursor". It matches the Rfam family "mir-4856 microRNA precursor family". Lineage: Eukaryota; Metazoa; Chordata; Leptocardii; Amphioxiformes; Branchiostomatidae. The record is from miRBase by way of RNAcentral.